This 400-nucleotide unclassified non-coding RNA is filed under the name soil metagenome. RNAcentral's name for it is "partial contains 5.8S ribosomal RNA, internal transcribed spacer 2, and large subunit ribosomal RNA". The stretch from base 1 to 122 matches the Rfam family "5.8S ribosomal RNA", at positions 35 to 154 of the family's 154-position model. The record is from RNAcentral.
GAUGAAGAACGUAGCGAAAUGCGAUACUUGGUGUGAAUUGCAGAAUCCCGUGAACCAUCGAGUCUUUGAACGCAAGUUGCGCCUCAAGCCAUUAGGUUGAGGGCACGUCUGCCUGGGCGUCACAUAUCGUUGCCUGAUGCCGGUUUCCUCGUGAUGGGUGACUGUGCAGGGCGAAUGAUGGCUUCCCGUGAGCAUUGUUGCCUCAUGGUUGGUUGAAAAUUGAGUCCUUGGUAGGGAGCGCCGUGAUAGAUGGUGGUUGAGUGACGAACGAGACCCAAUCAUGUGAGACCCCUACCGAAUUUGGCCUUCAUGACCCACAUGCGUCUUUGGAACGCUCAUGACGAGACCUCAGGUCAGGCGGGGCUACCCGCUGAGUUUAAGCAUAUCAAUAAGCGGAGGA